AAGGAGUUAGCAAGGUGGGAAGAGGCUGGAUCAGUACCUAGGCCGCUGUCUGGAGAAGAAAUUUGGAGGAAUGAGAGGACGCAGGAGACAAGGAAGCAGGCUUCGUGUCAGUCCAGAGGAUGCUGCAACAAGACACCAUCUAGGAAGCAGAGACCAGACCCCCAUCAUAGACUGAACCUGCCAACACCUUCAUCUUGGA
Molecule: non-coding RNA, 199 nt
Organism: Microcebus murinus (gray mouse lemur)
Lineage: Eukaryota; Metazoa; Chordata; Mammalia; Primates; Cheirogaleidae
Source: RefSeq, a predicted model, not a curated record